UAGGGAAUCUUCGGCAAUGGACGGAAGUCUGACCGAGCAACGCCGCGUGAGUGAAGAAGGUCUUCGGAUCGUAAAGCUCUGUUGUUAGAGAAGAACGUUGGUAGGAGUGGAAAAUCUACCAAGUGACGGUAACUAACCAGAAAGGGACGGCUAACUACGUGCCAGCAGCCGCGGUAAUACGUAGGUCCCGAGCGUUGUCCGGAUUUAUUGGGCGUAAAGCGAGCGCAGGCGGUUCUUUAAGUCUGAAGUUAAAGGCAGUGGCUUAACCAUUGUACGCUUUGGAAACUGGAGGACUUGAGUGCAGAAGGGGGGAGUGGAAUUCCAUGUGUAGCGGUGAAAUGCGUAGAUAUAUGGAGGAACACCGGUGGCGAAGGCGGCUCUCUGGUCUGUAACUGACGCUGAGGCUCGAAAGCGUGGGGAGCAAACAGG
This 429-nucleotide ribosomal RNA is filed under the name Bacillota bacterium. RNAcentral's name for it is "Firmicutes bacterium partial 16S ribosomal RNA". It matches the Rfam family "Bacterial small subunit ribosomal RNA", at positions 355 to 776 of the family's 1533-position model. Lineage: Bacteria; Bacillati; Bacillota. The record is from RNAcentral.